This 398-nucleotide ribosomal RNA is filed under the name uncultured bacterium. RNAcentral describes it as "partial 16S ribosomal RNA". It matches the Rfam family "Bacterial small subunit ribosomal RNA", at positions 523 to 918 of the family's 1533-position model. The record is from RNAcentral.
AUACGUAGGGUGCGAGCGUUGUCCGGAAUUACUGGGCGUAAAGAGCUCGUAGGUGGUUUGUCGCGUCGUCUGUGAAGUUCCGGGGCUUAACUCCGGGCGUGCAGGCGAUACGGGCAUAACAUGAGUACUGUAGGGGAGAUGGGAAUUCCUGGUGUAGCGGGGAAAUGCGCAGAUAUCAGGAGGAACACCGGGGGCGAAGGCGGAUCGCUGGGGAAUAACUGACGCUGAGUCGCGAAAGCGUGGUUAGCGAACAGGAUUAGAUCCCCUGGUAGUCCAUGCCGUACACGGUGGGCGCUAGGUGUAGGGGUCUUCCACGACUUCUGAGCCGUAGCUAACGCAUUAAGCGCCCCGCCUGGGGAGUACGGCCGCAAGGCUAAAACUCAAAGGAAUUGACGGGG